ACCCUGCUCUUCCGCCCAAAACGAGCGCACGUAAGGCCACGUUGCCGGCGAAUCUCGGUCGUCCGAUCUCCGGUCUGGUUUAAUCGUGUCGUCCGUCGGCAUGGACCGCGGUUGGGUCCAGAACCUUCCCGUUCCUGAGCACAUCGUCUCUGCCGCUCCUCAUCGGCUCAUCCUCGCUCCACCGCGAAUUCGCGGCCCUACUCGGCUCCUCCCUCCCUGUUCCCGUCCGCUGCCUCCUUCCUUUUCUAGCCAAGCAGCGGGUGCGACGCCGCGAAGAAGGAAGAGGAGAUGCGACUGGCGCGACGCAAAGCAGCAGAUCAGCGGCGGCGCCGGCUGUGAUUCUCUCCACCUGCUCCCCUGAGCCGCAGCCCUUCUCCUCCUGGCCAUGCACAUUGUCUACCCAUCGUCGCUAUGUUGCAGGUUCACCACCUCCGUCAAUUUGCAGACGCGGCCCACCAGAGCUCGUCGUGAGGGUGCUGCCAGCUGCCUUCGACACAGCGGACAGCCGGCAGCCGCGCAUGGUGGAACGCAUUACGGCUGGUUCUGCCCGGCGACAUCGCAGCCCGGGAGCCGGAUUGGCGGCAACUCGGCGACGGCGUCCUCCUUAACGCCUGCUGCUGUGAGAGAGGACUUCCCAUGCGCACGACAGGAGGCAAGCUCAAGCAGCAAGGUGGAUGGUGGACAUGCACCGACGCAUCGACACUAAGGCCUCGCGUUCCAGGUUCUUAUGCUCCAGUUAUAACAUCAAAUCUACCUUCCAAAUUCCAUACGGGUGCAACAAGUGAGACCACUAGAUAAUUGGCGUAUGCUAACCGUAGCUCAUUUGUUGGUUUUCUUUCAAAAAGUUAUUAAGUUUGCUGAAGCUAUUAAGAAAUUUUCAGCAUUGUUAUGUUAGUUUAGUACAAAUUAAAGCGAUUCAAGCUAGCUUUCAGGAUAAACCUUUCUCCAAUAUGGCUAAACCUUGGUGCGAUCAAUUUCCUAUAUCA
Long non-coding RNA from Panicum virgatum (switchgrass), 986 nucleotides. RefSeq lists it as uncharacterized. The transcript has 2 exons. The record is from RefSeq and is a predicted model, not a curated record. Lineage: Eukaryota; Viridiplantae; Streptophyta; Magnoliopsida; Poales; Poaceae.